This 212-nucleotide long non-coding RNA is filed under the name Elaeis guineensis (African oil palm). RNAcentral describes it as "long non-coding RNA (EGUI_LNC065890)". Lineage: Eukaryota; Viridiplantae; Streptophyta; Magnoliopsida; Arecales; Arecaceae. The record is from RNAcentral.
UGGACGAAUUGAGCAAAGACUGUAAUUACACGCUAACUGGCGCUUCUCAUCCUCAUUAUCUGAUGAGUUAAGUAAAGGUCAAGAAUGAUGAUGAAGGAGCUAACCCACUAGGAAACCCUCAGUCAAGUUGACAAAAACAUCUCACAUAAAGACAAGCUGGAUGGAGAUCGAAUUUUUACCUUGGACCACAAGCUAUAUACAUCCCACACAAU